Molecule: ribosomal RNA, 402 nt
Filed under: uncultured bacterium
Lineage: Bacteria
Description: bacterial SSU rRNA
Rfam family: Bacterial small subunit ribosomal RNA
Source: RNAcentral
UGAGGGAUAUUGCACAAUGGGGGAAACCCUGAUGCAGCGACGCCGCGUGGGUGAUGAAGGCUUUCGGGUCGUAAAACCCUUUUCUAGGUGACGAGGAAGGACGGUAGCCUAGGAAUAAGUCUCGGCUAACUACGUGCCAGCAGCCGCGGUAAAACGUAGGAGGCAAGCGUUAUCCGGAGUUACUGGGCGUAAAGCGCGCGCAGGUGGUUGAGUAAGUGGGGCGUGAAAUAUCUCGGCUAAACCGGGAGGGACGAACCAGACUAUUCGACUGGAGUACAGUAGAGGAACGCGGAAUUCGGGGUGUAGCGGUGAAAUGUGCAGAGAUCCCGAGGAACACCGAGAGGUGAAGACGGCGUUCUGGGGCUGUAAACUGACACUGAGGCGCGAAAGCGUGGGGAGCGA